Molecule: ribosomal RNA, 253 nt
Filed under: uncultured bacterium
Lineage: Bacteria
Description: partial 16S ribosomal RNA
Rfam family: Bacterial small subunit ribosomal RNA
Source: RNAcentral
UACGGAGGGUGCGAGCGUUAAUCGGAAUUACUGGGCGUAAAGCGCAUGCAGGUGGUUUGUUAAGUCAGAUGUGAAAGCCCGGGGCUCAACCUCGGAGUUGCAUUUGAAACUGGCAGGCUAGAGUACUGUAGAGGGGGGUAGAAUUUCGGGUGUAGCGGUGAAAUGCGUAGAGAUCUGAAGGAAUACCGGUGGCGAAGGCGGCCCCCUGGACAGAUACUGACACUCAGAUGCGAAAGCGUGGGGAGCAAACAGG